AGUCGAGCGAGGUAGCAAUACCUAGCGGCAGACGGGUGAGUAACAUGUGGGAAUCUGCCUUUUGGUUCGGAACAACACGGGGAAACUUGUGCUAAUACCGGAUAAGCCCUUACGGGGAAAGUUUUAAUGCCAAAAGAUGAGCCCGCACUUGAUUAGCUAGUUGGUGAGGUAAAGGCUCACCAAGGCGACGAUCCGUAGCUGGUUUGAGAGGACGACCAGCCACACUGGGACUGAGACACGGCCCAGACUCC
RNAcentral lists this ribosomal RNA (251 nucleotides) under uncultured bacterium. Its description in RNAcentral is "partial 16S ribosomal RNA". It matches the Rfam family "Bacterial small subunit ribosomal RNA", at positions 60 to 339 of the family's 1533-position model. The record is from RNAcentral.